GUGCUCACUUCGGCAGCACAUAUACUAAAAUUGGAACGAUACAGAGGAGAUUAGCAUGGCCCCUGCGCAAGGAUGACACGCAAAUUCGUGAAACGUUCCAUAAUUUU
Molecule: small nuclear RNA, 107 nt
Organism: Delphinapterus leucas (beluga whale)
Lineage: Eukaryota; Metazoa; Chordata; Mammalia; Artiodactyla; Monodontidae
Source: Ensembl